This is a long non-coding RNA of Esox lucius (northern pike), 459 nucleotides long. Lineage: Eukaryota; Metazoa; Chordata; Actinopteri; Esociformes; Esocidae. The record is from Ensembl.
CUUCGAUCUUACUCACUCAAAGUCACCUGCUGCAAGCAAAGUCCGGAGGAUAGGAGAGACGGUGAUGCUAAUUUUCAUGACUGGUCUGAAACAUUAAUGGACAUUUUGAGUUAGAAAGCUUCUAAGUUGCCCAAAGGAUUCUAAUUUGGUUUUAGAAAAAUCACUUUAAAAGAAUGUACUGGAAACAUUGUGGUCAUCAAUUUGUGGGUUCACAGUGCUGCGCUGUCUUCAUGCUGGAAUUAUUAAGUGAUUAAACGCAUCCAGAAGAAUCAGAUGGCACUACAGUGACACUGGACGUUCAGGAGGGUACACAUGGGGGCGUGUUGGCCCAGAAAUUCAUUUUUUCCAUCCAAGUCUUCACUACAAAUUACUAAAAAGUAUCAUUCUAAAAGAAAACUUAAUACUUGUGAGGCCUUGGGUAUUUUUCUUUGACUAUGUAUACCCCUGUGUGUAAUAGGC